This 1586-nucleotide long non-coding RNA is filed under the name Heterocephalus glaber (naked mole-rat). Its description in RNAcentral is "lncRNA (ENSHGLG00100034794.1)". The record is from RNAcentral. Lineage: Eukaryota; Metazoa; Chordata; Mammalia; Rodentia; Bathyergidae.
CACAGCCAAGGAGGAAGGCCGGCGGGCCUGACCUGGGAAUGGAGGCACAACUUGCUGCAGGUCUCAGUAGGGAAGUCAGGACUGAGGGGGCCACAGGUACCCAGGAACAGGUGGGGCCUGGAGGCUGUGCUGAGCGCGUCCCUGCAAACGGCGUGAAAGGGAACACACCUGAGCGCGAAUCUGGGCUGAACUCUUCACCUCGCCACCUUUACAUCGCAUGCACCACAUUUCCAAGCUACAGAUCUGUUAGCAUCCAAUGGCAAAGCCCUGACUCCAACUCCGUGCCACCACCACAAGGGGACAGCACUGCAGCCAGCCUGCCUGGGACACUGAGCCCCACUGCGUGUACAGGGUGCCCCUCUGCCUGCCGCUUCCAACCUAUUAAGCGGGUUUAGAAACACCGCAUGUGUCGGGGGAUCUGCAGUCCUUGCUCAGCCCCUCUUGCUCCCAGGUCCCACAUGGUGAGAGACUCAGCAAACGCCAACCUGGGCGUCCACAUCACUGGCUGACUUCACUGUGGAAAAUUAUAAAGCAGUGCACGCACCUGCCUUCCUGUUCACCCAGGCUCCUCUACCUUUGCUGGGAGGUGUCCGUCACUCUCCGAUUCUGCUGUGGACGCCGUCCAGGCCCUGAGCAGCACCCUGUGCCAGAGGAACUUGAGAACAGCAGAUCCAAUCCCACACCUGCCAGCCAAGACCCGGGGAAGGGAGGAGACUGCGCCCAUUGUCAGUGAACUCGCCUUCAUGCAAACAUCUCACAGACUCGGUCAUUUCUUCAGGUCAGCACUACAUUAACAGGACAGCUUCGUGUCUUCAUAAGGCAUUUCAAAAACUUAACAAACAACUAUUAUGAUUCUUAAAAGCACAGGACAAAUGUCUUCAUGGGGUAUGAUUUCAAAAUAUAGUGAAUGCUGCUGCUGAGCUCCAUCCAGUGGGAAGGCAGCCUUAUAAAACAUGACGCACUGGCCUCAUCCAGUUUAUUCACAGGACCUGGCCCCAUGCAACUUCCCGGCUCUUCUGCAAAGUCAAAAUGACCAUGAAGGGUGUUUUAUAUCAAUUCAGGACACUGAGGAAGCCAGGACAGAGCAACUAAAGACACUUCCAAAAGGACUUCCAGAACUGCUUCAGAAAAUGACCAGAAUGAUGGGAUAAGUGUGUUCAAAGUGAGGGUCGAGUAUUUUGAAAGAAACGAAUUAGCAGUGUUUUUGACUCUAAUAAUUAUUUUAAAUUUAAAAUUCACUAUUUUUCCAUCAUACCUCAUAAUACUUAACUUGUGGCCAUGUACAUUUUGUACAUUUAUUUGCAAGAUUUCAAGUUAGGAGACUGAGCUCCCAUGUUUCGUCUGUACUAAUCAGGAAAUGAUGGGAUGGAAAUACCUCGGCCAGCCAAGGUUCUGUGGUGUAACAGUGGAGGGUGGCUGAAAAGGACACGGAACCACAGUCACCAGAUCCUAGAGCAGAACAUCGGACACGCUGUACAUCCCAACACUCCACUGACCAACACGCGGUAGUGGGAAUCAGCCCUUUAUUUUGGUGUGUGUUUGAAAAAUUAAAUAAAACACUAAAUAUUAAACACACUUCCCAUGAG